GAAAGAGAAGGAGGAGGAGGAGGAGCAGGACCAGGAGCAGGAGCACGUGGAAGAAGAAGAGAAGACCCACAGGGCCCAGGACAUCUCAUUCAGCCAAGACACACUAAAUCUGCUCACAAAUGACUCCAAGUGAACCCAGCUUCUUGGAUCCCUUUGACUUGGGGUGACCUCUACUAAGCCACAAAGCCAGAAAGGUCCAGGCCAGGGCCCUGCUUGGCCUGCCUCUUUGACAUAUUCGCAGGCACAGGCCUUGGGAAUGACUGACUGGCCUUCAGGGUGGAGUAGGAAGGGUUUGUUGAGCCCCUUCACACUAGUACUUUUUCCAGUCAUUGAGGUACCUCUGAAUAUACAAAUCAAGCAGAGGCCCUGGUGGUAGGGAGAAGGGGAAUUACGUGAAAUGAUCCUGGAAAAGGACCAGGGCAUUUGAAGUGCACAGGGGGCGAAAUGUGUGUGUGUGUGUGUACAUACUAGUACACAUGUGUGUCUGCACACACAGUUAUGCCUGCCUGCACUUGGGUUAGCAGUUAAUAAAGAUCUUGAUCUGGUAGCAGGGAAACCCAACAAUACAGGAAGAAAAGAUAAAGGCAGACUUGGCUUUGAAAUGAGCUCACGUUUGGAGGAGGCAAGGUUUUACUAUUGCUGGUGCCUGAGGCCAGGGAAAUCGGGGAGCCACAAAGGGGUUAACAACUGGCGAUUCAACAACUGAGGAGGGGCAUCUGCCUCAGAAAGGGCCCUGCCUCUGGACCUUCUCCAUUUCGGCGUCACCCCAACCAUUGCUCCUUUGACCAUAAUCCCAGGGACCUUCCCGAAGCAGGGGGUGGGUUGUGCCUCUCCUCACAAAUCUUCGGUUCACUCCCUGCCCUUCAGAGUGCUCUUCAGACCCUUUGCAUGACAUUAAAGAACCACCUUAUUGGUGUCCCAAA
Myotis myotis is the source of this 923-nucleotide long non-coding RNA. RefSeq lists it as uncharacterized. The record is from RefSeq and is a predicted model, not a curated record. The transcript is spliced from 2 exons. Lineage: Eukaryota; Metazoa; Chordata; Mammalia; Chiroptera; Vespertilionidae.